Molecule: long non-coding RNA, 208 nt
Filed under: Sorghum bicolor (sorghum)
Lineage: Eukaryota; Viridiplantae; Streptophyta; Magnoliopsida; Poales; Poaceae
Description: long non-coding RNA (SBIC_LNC013804)
Source: RNAcentral
GGCUAGGGUAUGUAAUUGAAAGUCUACCGAUAGGACUUAGAUGGCGGAGAGGACUUACUCAGUGGGUUCAUCGCCUGAGGUAACCAUAGUCAACUCCCCAUCUUGUGGUGAUGCAGUACGUGCGUCUUCCUUCCAUUUUGCUUCUGUCUCUUUUGCUUCUUCCUUCUCUAGUUCCAACUCUUCAGCUCUGUUCUUCUUUUCCUAGGCU